GAGCCCCAGCGGGGAAGGAGGAAGAAGAAGAGGAGGAGGCGGCGGUGCGGGGCUGCGUCCCGGGCGGCGGUAAAUCCUCGGAGGCAGCGCUUCCCAACCCCGGCCGCCUCCCGCCAGGGGCUGCGGGGACGCAUCCAGAGGGCAGCGCCGCGAGCCCCCGGCCGAGAGCGGGGAGGGAAGGGGCGCCGAGCCCCCCUCCCCCGGUCCUGCUCCGGGCACGGACAAAUCCCUUUAAUGGAGACGCACUGCUGGGAGUGGGGGGAAGAAGCGGAUCACAGCGCGCUGGCCCUCAAGGAGAAAAAUCGGGGGGAUUAAUUAAUUUAAAAAAAUAAAAAAAAAUAACGGGGGCUGCGGGCGCAGCGCCCAGACCCACACCUGCCGCCGCGCUGCGCCGACUGAGCGGGCGAGCCCCGCCGCGCCAGGUUUAAAUACCCCCACCGAGGCCACGCCCCCUUAGCCACGCCCAUAAGCCGUUAAGCCACGCCCCUCGUGAGCCGUUGCUCCGCCCCCGCUCCUCCCAACGGGCGGUACCGGUUCCACCCCCUCGUGUGCCGCCCCGCCUAUGGGGGCGCCGGUUGCUAUUGGCUGGCUUGGGCUGUCAGUCAGGGGGGCGCCGCGGUUGAGGAUUGGUGGCUGCGCGUCCGAGAGCCCCGGCCCUUCUGCACUUCAUAAAUACUAGCUAGAAAAUCAUACCGCUGAAUUACACGACUUUAAGUGAGUUUGUGGUUCAGUAGCGGCCCAUUUCACAGUCUUACAGGGAGCUGCAUGAUACAGAACUGUAGAAAAACAAGAUGGAACAGACAAACCCCCCAUGUCAUCUAGUCCAGCAGUUUGCCCAAGGAAAGAGUCCAGGGGACACUAAUAUCAGCGGAACUGCCUUGACAGAAAAUUGGAUAUUCUACAAUGUGACAGUGAGGCCACCACUUGUGAUUCAGCAUAGAGUGAACACCAAGGAUUGUGCUUCUGUUCAGCACAAAGGUGACACAGCAUUCAUUUGGGUGGGCAGCAGGUCACGCAUUUUGCUACAGAAAGUACGUGUGUAA
RNAcentral lists this long non-coding RNA (1043 nucleotides) under Anas platyrhynchos platyrhynchos (common mallard). Its description in RNAcentral is "lncRNA (ENSAPLG00000031214.1)". Lineage: Eukaryota; Metazoa; Chordata; Aves; Anseriformes; Anatidae. The record is from RNAcentral.